GCAGCAGCGGGUGUCCAGGGAGAGACCACAAGGCAAUCGUUGCCCCACCCCCAGCCCUCAGAGUUGUAAGGUCGGAACUGUUUCCCUGUAUUUACUGUCGCAGAGCCAGAGGGCAUGCAGGAGGCGCCUCCGCGCUGGCUUUGCAGAGGGAUUUCGUUUAACCCCAGUCAACACCAGCAGCAGGUCCUGCUCCCGCAGUGGUGUCUCCCCGCCCUCCUGCCUGAGGCCGAGAGGGCCCAUAGGCUUCUACACAGUAAGCACCCGGCAGGGUAGACAGCCAGGAAGAGGGAGGAGGGCCUUGGGAGGAAGGGUAUCAGGGAAUGACGCUGGUCCACACUGGCCACCCCAGCACAACACGGAAUGGAAUGUCCCAGCUACGCCCUGGCAGUGAGGUAAUGCCCUCUUGCUGACCCCGUGUGGCUGUGAGGGCCGAAGGCGAUCUCUGAGCCUCUUGGCUCCUCUAGUUUCUGCUGCUGCCUGCCGUUCAUUCAGCAGCCAUUCCUCAGCGGCUGUCUCACCUCCGAUCCACCCCGCAAGAUAUUCGUGCACACUGGCUGCCCUCCACGUAACCGACAGGACAGAGGAAGUCCUGCAAGGAGCAGGGCAAAGGGCUGCCCCAUGGGGCAUUCCAUGUCCUGCCCUUCCACAUUUUAGUUAAAAUUAAAAAUCCUCUCUCCUCAUGCUCCAAGUGCACUGUGUGAAAAGUUGGAAUUUAUCAUGCAGUGUGAGCUUAAAACCUUGUUCCUAAAGUUCCACACAUUGGAAUCUGGAGUCAGCUGGGUUCUCUCCGAGGUCCCGCUGGAUCAGAGAAGGAGGAAGACGCUGCAGUGGAGUCGGGCCCUUGGCACGUCAGAGGCACGAGGAAUCUGCACGUGAACAUCCAUUUCCAAGGCAAAAGAUCAACUAAAUAAAAAGAAAAAAAUAAAGUUCCUCCUUUGUAUCGCAGCCCACACUUUCCUCAACCGCUGUCCGCAGGUUUGUGUGCCUUCUCCUGGUCUUCUUUCUGUACAUUUAAAUCCGU
This 1021-nucleotide long non-coding RNA is filed under the name Chinchilla lanigera (long-tailed chinchilla). Its description in RNAcentral is "lncRNA (ENSCLAG00000024968.1)". The record is from RNAcentral. Lineage: Eukaryota; Metazoa; Chordata; Mammalia; Rodentia; Chinchillidae.